RNAcentral lists this unclassified non-coding RNA (337 nucleotides) under soil metagenome. RNAcentral's name for it is "partial contains 5.8S ribosomal RNA, internal transcribed spacer 2, and large subunit ribosomal RNA". The stretch from base 1 to 120 matches the Rfam family "5.8S ribosomal RNA", at positions 35 to 154 of the family's 154-position model. The record is from RNAcentral.
GAUGAAGAACGCAGCGAAAUGCGAUAAGUAAUGUGAAUUGCAGAACUCAGUGAAUCAUCGAAUCUUUGAACGCACAUUGCGCCCCUUGGUAUUCCAUGGGGCAUGCCUGUUCGAGCGUCAUUUGUACCUUCAAGCUCUGCUUGGUGUUGGGUGUUUGUCUCGCCUCUGCGUGUAGACUCGCCUCAAAACAAUUGGCAGCCGGCGUAUUGAUUUCGGAGCGCAGUACAUCUCGCGCUUUGCACUCAUAACGACGACGUCCAAAAGUACAUUUUUACACUCUUGACCUCGGAUCAGGUAGGGAUACCCGCUGAACUUAAGCAUAUCAAUAAGCGGAGGA